ACUGCCGGUGACAAACCGGAGGAAGGUGGGGAUGACGUCAAAUCAUCAUGCCCCUUAUGAUUUGGGCUACACACGUGCUACAAUGGACAAUACAAAGGGCAGCGAAACCGCGAGGUCAAGCAAAUCCCAUAAAGUUGUUCUCAGUUCGGAUUGUAGUCUGCAACUCGACUAUAUGAAGCUGGAAUCGCUAGUAAUCGUAGAUCAGCAUGCUACGGUGAAUACGUUCCCGGGUCUUGUACACACCGCCCGUCACACCACGAGAGUUUGUAACACCCGAAGCCGGUGGAGUAACCAUUUGGAGCUAGCCGUCGAAGGUGGGACAAAUGAUUGGGGUGAAGUCGUAACAAGGUAGCCGUAUCGGAAGGUGCGGCUGGAUCACCUCCUUUCUAAGGA
Molecule: ribosomal RNA, 393 nt
Filed under: Staphylococcus epidermidis NIHLM040
Lineage: Bacteria; Bacillati; Bacillota; Bacilli; Caryophanales; Staphylococcaceae
Description: bacterial SSU rRNA
Rfam family: Bacterial small subunit ribosomal RNA
Source: RNAcentral